CAAUAUAGUGCCUGAGUAAAGGAUAGCUUUGAUGUAGCUAAUAAUGUAAGAAUUUACCUAUAUU
RNAcentral lists this transfer RNA (64 nucleotides) under Pyrhila pisum. Its description in RNAcentral is "tRNA-Ile". The record is from RNAcentral. Lineage: Eukaryota; Metazoa; Arthropoda; Malacostraca; Decapoda; Leucosiidae.